This 430-nucleotide unclassified non-coding RNA is filed under the name Hevea brasiliensis (rubber tree). The record is from RNAcentral. Lineage: Eukaryota; Viridiplantae; Streptophyta; Magnoliopsida; Malpighiales; Euphorbiaceae.
GAGCACUGGUUCUGUUUUUUCCUUCAGGUUGGAUGAGCGUGCUGAGAAAAGGAAGGAGUUCUUCACGAAGAUGGAAGAGAAAAUUCAUGCUAAGGAAAUGGAGAAGACUAACAUGCAGGCAAAGUCCAAGGAGAGCCAAGAGGCAGAAAUUAAGCAGUUGCGGAAGAGUUUAACAUUUAAAGCGACACCACUGCCGAAUUUUUACCAAGAACCUGAUCCUCCAAAACAGGAAUUAAAGAAGAUACCACCUACUCGUGCUAAAUCGCCAAAGCUUGGUCGGCACAAGCCUUCUGCUGCAGCAGAAAAUGUUUCAAAAGAUACCGUUUCAAGUAAAAUUUCUCGCUCUGAAUCAAGCAAGCUGACUGGAGGUGUAGCAAAUGGUAAAGUGGAAUCUGUAGCGUCAAAGAAAGUGGUUCAGAGGUCUCUCUCG